AUGACAGUGAGUAAUCUUAGAAACAUUAUUUCGAGUUCGAUAUAAAACGCGGACUAACGAAUACAAGUAGCUAUGGAUCGAUAGUGAACGUAUGUGUUACUCAUUUCACACGAGACAAUGUGGAGAGUUGUGCUUGCGUCUUCGGUGUUUUUAUAUUAUCGUGUGCGAUAGAACUUAUUAUAACUACUCUAAGUUGUAUUAUUAUAUCCCAUUAUCAGUAAUUUAUGAUAAUUAAUUAAUAGAAUUAAACAUAAACAGAAGAUUGCUUUGGAUUAAUGAGCUGUGUUGCGUGGUGAUUGAAACGGUUCGGUCUGCAUCAAGUUUCGGUGAAGCCAGUGGAGUUAGCAAUGAGGUCUUCUGCUUAUUAACGUCAUCCGGCAAGUGUAAUUUGUUAUGAAAGUAGUCAUAUAAUAAGCAAUACGUUUUGUAGAGAUGAUUCCUACGGUAUGUUUAGUACAUAACUGCGAAUUUGCUAUCAUGGCAACCAGGUUCCUUCUAUUAAGGGCGGUCAAACAGAUUUGGGACUUCGUCGCCUCCUACGACUCGCAGGGCUAAGGUGGAUGUAUUCGACCCCGCCUCCACACGGGACCUGAAUUGAUCUCGGUGUCUGACUUCUGCCUGUUUACAUACCCUUCAGCCGAUCGAAUAUGCGACACCGUUCCCAACAGUUAGUCUUAUAGCUUCCCUCCGUUUAUGUGCUUUUAACGAUUUUUGCCGUGGAUAUCGGCAUUCAACAGUCAAAGUUAUGCAGCGUGCAGUGAAUCAUAGUACUUGAACCGUUGCAUAGCAGUUGGCGCCAAUUCUUGAACGCUUGGGAACGUGUUUACUUAUAUGUCACAUUAUUGAUGGCGGGAGGUAAACCUCUGCAAUAAGUGCUUUUAUUGUGAAGUUGCAGUGUCUUUCGCCGCAAUACAAAAUGUUUAACUACGUACGUUUAACAACAAGUUUCUUCUUCUGUGAUCGUGUGGGUGUUUUUUUGGUGUAUGUGAACAAAUUUCCGAGUGACCAUACCCAGCGGCCCUUGUCGGCGGUCCGGCAGCGUUCAUCCGAGGCGGCAGCAGGCACGACGCGCAAAACCGUCUGGAUUAAGAAUUCUGGAGAUCCCCGCAGCAAUGGU
Long non-coding RNA from Cryptotermes secundus, 1117 nucleotides. RefSeq lists it as uncharacterized. The record is from RefSeq and is a predicted model, not a curated record. The transcript has 3 exons. Lineage: Eukaryota; Metazoa; Arthropoda; Insecta; Blattodea; Kalotermitidae.